GCACGGCCGCCGAGAAGAAACGGGGCGACUACACCAAGAUCUCCUUCCGGCCGGACCUGACCCGCUUC
Molecule: non-coding RNA, 68 nt
Filed under: Pseudictyota dubia
Lineage: Eukaryota; Bacillariophyta; Thalassiosirophyceae; Eupodiscales; Odontellaceae
Source: RNAcentral